CAACCCUCAAGCUCAGCUUGGUAUUAGGCGGCUGCUCCCUGCGAGCACCUCUGAAAAUUAGCGGCAGUUUGAUCAGACUUUGAGCGCAAUAGCUUUAUUCUCGCUGGAAAGUUCUGAUCGGGCUUGCCGAACAACCCCAAAUUUUUCAAU
Molecule: unclassified non-coding RNA, 150 nt
Filed under: Phlyctis argena
Lineage: Eukaryota; Fungi; Ascomycota; Lecanoromycetes; Phlyctidaceae
Description: partial internal transcribed spacer 2
Source: RNAcentral